This 451-nucleotide ribosomal RNA is filed under the name uncultured bacterium. Its description in RNAcentral is "bacterial SSU rRNA". It matches the Rfam family "Bacterial small subunit ribosomal RNA", at positions 28 to 507 of the family's 1533-position model. The record is from RNAcentral.
GAUGAACGCUGGCGGCGUGCCUAACACAUGCAAGUCGAGCGAUUCUCUUCGGAGAAGAGCGGCGGACGGGUGAGUAACGCGUGGGUAACCUGCCCUGUACACACGGAUAACAUACCGAAAGGUAUGCUAAUACGAGAUAAUAUGCUUUUAUCGCAUGGUAGAAGUAUCAAAGUUUUUGCGGUACAGGAUGGACCCGCGUCUGAUUAGCUAGUUGGUAAGGUAACGGCUUACCAAGGCGACGAUCAGUAGCCGACCUGAGAGGGUGAUCGGCCACAUUGGAACUGAGACACGGUCCAAACUCCUACGGGAGGCAGCAGUGGGGAAUAUUGCACAAUGGGCGAAAGCCUGAUGCAGCAACGCCGCGUGAGCGAUGAAGGCCUUCGGUCGUAAAGCUCUGUCCUCAAGGAAGAUAAUGACGGUACUUGAGGAGGAAGCCCCGGCUAACUACGUG